This 533-nucleotide ribosomal RNA is filed under the name uncultured bacterium. RNAcentral's name for it is "bacterial SSU rRNA". It matches the Rfam family "Bacterial small subunit ribosomal RNA", at positions 338 to 872 of the family's 1533-position model. The record is from RNAcentral.
CCUACGGGAGGCAGCAGUGAGGAAUAUUGGUCAAUGGACGAAAGUCUGAACCAGCCAUGCCGCGUGGAGGAUGAAGGCCCUCUGGGUCGUAAACUUCUUUUAUCAGGGAAGAAAAGUACUAUUUCUAUGGUAUCCGACGGUACCUGAUGAAUAAGCACCGGCUAACUCCGUGCCAGCAGCCGCGGUAAUACGGAGGGUGCAAGCGUUAUCCGGAUUUACUGGGUUUAAAGGGUGUGUAGGCGGACUGGAAAGUCAGAGGUGAAAUCUCCGAGCUUAACUCGGAAACUGCCCCUGAUACUAUUAGUCUUGAAUAUCGUUGAGGUAGGCGGAAUACAACAUGUAGCGGUGAAAUGCUUAGAUAUGUUGUAGAACACCGAUUGCGAAGGCAGCUUACUAAACGAUGAUUGACGCUGAGGCACGAAAGCGUGGGGAUCAAACAGGAUUAGAUACCCUGGUAGUCCACGCCCUAAACGAUGAUUACUCGUCAUUGGCGAUACACUGUCAGUGACUAAGCGAAAGCAUUAAGUAUCCAC